CCUACGGGUGGCAGCAGUGGGGGAUAUUGGACAAUGGGGGAAACCCUGAUCCAGCGACGCCGCGUGAGUGAAGAAGUAUUUCGGUAUGUAAAGCUCUAUCAGCAGGGAAGAAAGACAUGACGGUACCUGAGUAAGAAGCCCCGGCUAACUACGUGCCAGCAGCAGCGGUAAUACGUAGGGGGCAAGCGUUAUCCGGAAUUACUGGGUGUAAAGGGAGCGUAGACGGUAAGGCAAGUCUGGAGUGAAAGGCGGGGGCCCAACCCCCGGAGUGCAGUUGAAACUGUGUGACUUGAGUGCAGUAGAGGCAGGCGGAAUUCGUAGUGUAGCGGUGAAAUGCGUAGAUAUUACGAAGAACACCAGUGGCGAAGGCGGCCUGCUGGACUGUAACUGACGUUGAGGCUCGAAAGCGUGGGGAGCAAACAGGAUUAGAUACCCCUGUAGUC
Molecule: ribosomal RNA, 443 nt
Filed under: uncultured bacterium
Lineage: Bacteria
Description: partial 16S ribosomal RNA
Rfam family: Bacterial small subunit ribosomal RNA
Source: RNAcentral